Halichondria panicea is the source of this 5579-nucleotide long non-coding RNA. RefSeq lists it as uncharacterized. The transcript has 11 exons. The record is from RefSeq and is a predicted model, not a curated record. Lineage: Eukaryota; Metazoa; Porifera; Demospongiae; Suberitida; Halichondriidae.
ACUUUGAAAUGUACAUUGGUUUUGCCCUACAAAACAGUGCUGAGUCAGCAGAAAAACUAGCUCGCGUGAUCGUGUCCAACCUCCUCUGCCCAUUAUCUGAUCUUGUUCAGUGCUACCAUCAUUGUUAUCUUCCUCUCCAGGUGGCUCCAGAAUCUCUGUGUCUGGGCCUUUACUGAGUGCAUCAUUUGAAGAAGUUGGUUCUUCUCGUUUCUUUGCUGUUUAGCAGAAGUCAGAGCUACAUGCGUCAUGAAUCCCAAAACAAUGGUUUGGGCCAUUAAUGAGGUCUUUCUCUAACGUUUGAUAGCUGUUUUCCUGUUUGGUUCUCGGCUUCGCAUUCGAAUUGCACAGCGUGCAGAACUAACCAGCCGUUUCCGCAUUUUUUCAGUGAGUCCUUUGUACUGACUGUUCUUUUGAAUCAGCUUUUCAAGACCCGAGCGAUAACAUUUGCAGGCAUGGUUUGCACACUCCAGCUUUUUGAUCGCAUAUCCCCAUCCUGGGACACCUUGAAUAAGAGCGGAACUGUCUCCAUCCCCAACAAAACGGGUAUACCUCACUCCGUGCACACUUUCAGCCUGUGAAAAUCCUUUUAGGAGGAUAUCACUUUCCAUUUCGGAAGAGGAGGCGUUCCAAUUUUUGUAGCACUGAUGGUUUUCUUUUAAGAUUCCUUGGGCACAUGCGGCACAGUACUUGUUACGGACACCUAUGUAUAGUAACUUUCCUGUCUCUUUCCCAAUAAUGAUCGCAACUCCGGAUUUCGCAUUGUACGAGAACGCUUGCUCCAACCACCAUCUACUAUGACAGUGAUUGCAGGUACUCCUUCGUGAAAGUCCCCGCGCUCUAUUGUUUUCUCCUCCUUCCCGGCAGAGCCUCUGCCAUUGACUCCGUCAGAUUUGUUCUCCACUGCUCCCCAAUACCUCGCUCUGUGUUUAUGAAUGUUCGCUUUGUCAUUACUGGUACACCCAUUACACCAAGAGACUCUUCCAAUUGACUGUGUCCUCCACCUGUUGUCAUUUCUCCCCAAACAGCUGCUAAGUUACACUCCCAUCGAGAAUAAUUUCGAGGCCCUUUUAUCUUUGAGGAAGUCUGUAGUUCAAUGCUGUGGUUGCAAGUUGAGCAGUGUCCGCUUAUAAUGGAUGCUAGACCAAAUCUUUUCUCUCCGAUUAGCGUUACUUCACCUUCACAAACUGAAGAAUGUUCUGCACUAUACUCUUGUAACUUGCUCAAAUUUAUUAUUCUGGAGCCCUUUGGCAGACCAAUGAGAGGAGAAUGGUGUGAGGACUUCGUAGGUGUUGGUUUUGAAUACUUGUACUUCUUCUGAGCGAUUUUUUUUUCUUGUACACAUACCGACUAUUAUUUCGAUAAUUUUUUUGUUCUUUUUACUUCCCAUGGUUCCAACAGUACUCUUUCUUAGCUUGCAAAUCUGUUAAACAAUAAGAAUCAAGUACCUAGUACCUAUGGUAGCACGAAUUUGGCGCUGUUUGCGUGGGUGUUCAGUGUGCAGUCAGCUGUAGCUGGUGGUUAGUAACAUAGAGCUCAUCUGGCAAUGGUCACUUGGCGUCAAUUCUAAGCAUCAGGAAAACCCUCCUUACCUUACAGUCUGCUGUUUCUUAUUAUACGAAUAAAGGGGCAGGGCGGCUCGAAGAGUUUUUCUCAAGAGAGUAAGUUGAAACAAAGUUACGGCCAUUUCUAGCUGUUUUUGUAGGCCAAUAUGGCGACUGUAGAGUAGUAACAAGGAUAUAUUUUUUGCUGUAAGGUCUCUAUGAACAAGAUCUCUUCGAGUCGCCCUCCAGUAAGUCUUUAGGCAUCGAAUACUGGUCAGAAAGACAACCUGGAAGCUAUGUAGUCAACAAAACUUGACGCCACUCCCUUGGAUUACAAGACAUAGAUACAAGACAUAGAUACUUUUAGCAUUGUUUCAUGUUCUCUUUUCAUUGAUAAUCAUUGAAAGUUACAAAAAUAAUGUUGUGAUGAGAAAUAAAGAAAAUAAAUAUCUUAUGAAUUAUUCAUGAGCAAUUAGUAUACCGUAACCUUAAACCUUUCUUCUACCUUCCUGAGAAGUUUUGGCUCAUUGCGAAGCUUUAAACAGGGCAAACGUGAAGGUUGAACAGGCUCACUAAAGAGAUCUUUCUCGAGUAAAAUUUAAUGAAUUUACGGAGUUACGUGACGGGAAUUCCCCUGUCACCAUUGACUACCGCGGGGGAAUUUCCCCUGCGUAAGUUUUGCAGGUGCACUAAAAAGCUUUUUAGAAGCCAGCGCAUGCAGCCUUCGCCUAGCCUGUAGGCUCUCCUAGAAAGCAAGAGAGAUGUCAAGAGCACAGCGUGCUGCAGCAGACCUGAAACAUUUAUUUUGUGAAGAGGACCAGUCAGCUCUGAAUGAAGUUGCACUGGAUUACUUCACUUGUCGAGAUUCAGAGUACUACGACUCAGAAGAUGACAGUGGUGAUGAAGAGACAAGUUUUGACACGUCAACAGAUGUACUCGGGGCGUCCAGUCUCGGCCCAAUGUCUCCACUAGGUUAUGGUGAGAGUCCUGUGUUCCCAUCAAACAACCCACAGACAAGUUAUGCUAUAGAGGGCAAGAAUCACUUCUGAAAUUAUUUUGAAUAGAUGAAGAUUGGAGCCCAAUGUCUCCAUCAACUCCUUACAACAACCAACUGGCAGGUUAUGGUAAGUGCCUUAAAGGACAACGAAUAACUUACUUUGAAUAGGUGAGAGCGAUUCGAGUCCUGUGUUACCAUCAACCCCCUGUAACGACCCAGGUUAUGGUGAGGGCGAUUCUGACCCGGAGCCUCCAGAACCCCCCACCACAGGACGGCCUUUGACAGGUAACGGUGAGAGCGAUUCUGACCCGGAGCCUCCAGAACCCCCAACCACAACCACAGGGCAGUCCCAUUGACAGGUGAGAGCGAUUCUGACUCGGAGCCUUCAGAACCCCCCACCACAGGACGGCACGGUCACAACUCAGUUGAAAGAGAAACUUUGAAAGAGACUGAGGACAUUGCACAAUUGACGGGUGUACAUGUAGUAGAUCCUGCCUCACACUGCAACAGGUCACAGAAUCUCGGAUUGCUUCGAGCUCUCAAAAAGCGAGCUAGACAUGGUAAUUCUCGGGGAACUCCAUGCCACCAUGAACACCUGUGGACCCACUCAGAGGGAGCGUAACAGUGUGUCAUACACUCACAGAGGACGACCAGUGUGUGCCAGUGUAUUUCGGUUCCUACAUGGACUAACGUAUAGUGAAAAUGGGCUCACUCCAAGAGUACAUGGCAACAUUAAUCGGCUCCCAAAAAUAGUCCUGUCACAGGAAGACAAAAGACAACGAGAACCUAGUGACUUACCUCCAUAACUAUUCAGAAGUAGGGAUGCUUGCUUCUUCCUGGCAGCUUUGUUUGUGUUACACUGGUGCCGAGCUGGUCUGGUGUAUCGAGGCAAGUUAUUUUGGCGACCGUAAUGUUGGCUGAGAGUCUGCAUUUGCAUGGAGCCGAGGCCAAGUAAGUAAUCAUAACUCUCAUUAUAAUAUUUUGUACGCAGAGCACUGAGUUCAGCCGUACACGGCUGGCUAUACUUAGGCGGCGACCUCAGCCUCGCUGAGUUCACGGGCUCUGGCCUCAAGGUAAUGCUAGUCAACAACAUCCACUGGGCCAAGGUAUGGUUCCCCGUGACUGGUGUCAAACGGCACUGCAAGGAGGUCAUUAUCAACCUUCUGAAGUUCUUUGGAACGUUGGAGAGUUGCUGCCCAUCGCAGAUCUCAGUGUUCGCUGCCGAAAGGCUGCUGAUUGCCAUAAUCGGUUAAAGUCCGACCACAAGAGCGGCACCUAAUUGAACCGCCAGAAUGGUCUGAGGUAUACGUCACUAAGAUGGUGUUGGCUCUGGGAACCGCGUUUGACCGACGUAGGUUAGAAUUGUCAUCCAGAGUCAGCAUCAGUUUAGAGACACUAGGGUCAAUUGUGCCCUGUGAUAUUCUCUUCUCCGAAGUAGCAAGGCUUGCUGCUUCCCCUACGAGCGACACACAACUGGAAACUGUCCGACAGAUACGAGUGUCUGGAGAAGGAUUGGCAGCAGUGUAUUGAUCGCUGCAACACCAACCUUAUACUCUCAGUGACCGCCAAACUACUCCUAAACGCAUCCAGUGGACAUCUUCGGAGACACUACCCCUCCUUGUGUCUCCAGGACCUCAGGGAGAUGGCGAGACUGCUAAGCGUUGAGCAAUUACCAUCUUGGUCGGCACUAGACAACCUCUCCUUGACUCCCCUUGUUUGUUGCCUGCUAUCGCUCUCCUGUCACUAGCCAUGGAACAACUGGGAGAGGAAGUACCAAACAGUAUCGCGCGGUGCAAACUGUCUGUCGCUGCUAAUAUUAGCAGAUUAGAUCAGAGAUCGGACAGGCCAAACUUUACUAUAGCUGAGCUAAGAGGCAUCGUUGUAAAGUCGAUGGACCGGACCACCUCCAUAAAACAAAAAAGGCAAAAUGAACGGUGGACCGGACCACCAAAAAAAAGAAAAGGGGGGGUGAGGGGGCUAACCAAAAUGAACGAGAUAAGGCCAUACCUCAUGGGUGUCUUGGAAACCGGCCAACAAGGGUGUUGUAACAAGAAACCAUAGGUUUUUUGUUGGUCACAGCCAAGUGUCACUAACAGUUCCGUUUUUAAACUUUGUUGGAACGGUCUGAACCUUUGGCCACAGCCUGGUGUCACCCAGUAACAAUUUUCAAAUUUGGGUUCUGAAUGGUUCUGAAUGGUUAAAUUUUUUUCCAAGUUUUUUAAACUUUGUCGAAACGGUCUGAAAUUUUGGCCACAGCCUGGUGUCAGUUCAGGGGAGUGGACAUCUCAUCGGAUUUCAAGAGUGGACAACAACAUGUACAGGACAAAGAGAACAGAACAUUCACAAACACAAAUGAAAUGAUUUGUUUUUAAGUGUCAUGGCUUGUCUAUUGUUGUUCAUAAUGAGGGUUAUGGUUAUGCUAGGCUAGGCUAGGACUUUUCUUUUUCAAGCAGGAGACAUUUGGUUAUGGUUAUGCUAGGCCCUUUUCUUCAAUAAUAUGGUUAUGUUCUAUAAGGUCUAAUCUAGCCAUAAGAUCCCUCAGGGGCAUAUCAGACCAGGUUAGGGAUUUCUGUGUUGAGAUCGUGUUGAGAUUGAGCCUUCAGUACAUAUGCUACUACUUCCCUUCCAAGAUUAAUGAUGCUGUUUGUCUGGAUAUACUUUUUUCCACACUCUUUCGUGUUAGGUUGGUUCGUUCGGUUUUAAAAUCCAUGCUACUAUCCACCCUAUCCACCCUAACUGGAAAAAAUCAGUCUCGAUACCGUUCUUGAAUUUGCAUCGGUCCUCACCACCAUGUACAUGCAGGUGGGUAUUUCGGUUGUGAAAAACCGUGACACUUUGCUAACAUCAUAGGCGGAAUAUUUGCCUAAAUGUGUGCAGUAUGCACAACCUGCAUAAGCACCAGCACCUACAAAUGAUACAGUUACAGUUAAUCAACAAAAAUACUAUGCAUGUAGUUGUAGAGCACGUAACAUAACACUUAAUUAAUACAUCCGUACCUUGGCAGUGAAAAACUUUACUCUGGCCUGGGUAGUCAAGGACAU